This 397-nucleotide ribosomal RNA is filed under the name uncultured bacterium. RNAcentral describes it as "partial 16S ribosomal RNA". It matches the Rfam family "Bacterial small subunit ribosomal RNA", at positions 355 to 743 of the family's 1533-position model. The record is from RNAcentral.
UGGGGAAUAUUGCACAAUGGGCGCAAGCCUGAUGCAGCCAUGCCGCGUGUGUGAAGAAGGCCUUCGGGUUGUAAAGCACUUUCAGCGAGGAGGAAGGUGGUGGACUUAAUACGUUCAUCAAUUGACGUUACUCGCAGAAGAAGCACCGGCUAACUCCGUGCCAGCAGCCGCGGUAAUACGGAGGGUGCAAGCGUUAAUCGGAAUUACUGGGCGUAAAGCGCACGCAGGCGGUUUGUUAAGUCAGAUGUGAAAUCCCCGGGCUCAACCUGGGAACUGCAUUGAAACUGGCAAGCUAGAGUCUCGUAGAGGGGGUAGAAUUCCAGGUGGUAGCGGUGCAAAUGCGUAGAGAUCUGGAGGAAUACCGGUGGCGAGGGCGGCCCCCAUGGACGAAGACUGA